GGCUCUGUGCUGACAGCAGAGAGCCCAAUAUGGGGCUCAAACUCACGAGCCAUGAGAUCAUGGCCCGAGAUGAAGUUGGACGUUUAACUGACUGAGCCACCCAGGUGCCCCCGGAUAUAUUAGUGUUAAAAGUGUUUGUGGUAAACAAACAUUAUAUAUAAGCAAGAUAAAAGUGGUACUGUGUAAGCUCUUGUAACAUGUUACGAAAUCCAGUGCCUAUGGGAGCCAGCCAGAUGAACUGAAUGAAGAAAGAGAGCUGGGUGUGAGGCAAUAGGGAGUGAGGAGGACUGCGGUGAGGUGAAGAGCACACACUGUGUCUGAAGACGGCGGUUUCUUUUCAGCUCCAGCUGAUGUCUGUCACGUGAUACAAUGAGCCCAGUGUGGCCAGAGCUCCUGGAUUCACAAAAGAAACUGGAAACCCAGAUUCUUAUGAAAAAUUCCCUUACACAGUCAUUCCCUCGGAGGUACUGUGGGUUUGGUACCAGACUACUGCAAUAAAGCAGACGCCUGUGGCUCAACAUGGAGAAAAGCCUACUAUUGAGCCCACGAGCCCAGGCGUGGUUACCUUUUUGCGUGGCCGAAGCUUGUCCCGCCAUUCCUUCAGGUUCUGAUUAUGGCUCUCAUCUAGGGCCUUCAGCUUCUGGGUUUCAUGUUCUACCAGGAGGUGACACUUUUCAUUCUGGAACAAAUUCCAGGCAGAACAGGAGAGAUUUGUGUAAAGAUGAGGACAUGGACCUGACAGAGACACUCCCAACUUUAUUAUUCUCUGAGGUUUUUGGCGCCCCCGCUUAAGUUUUGUGCUCCAGCUCCAGCCCAGCCCCUGCAGCUGCCUGAGGCCCCUUGGAUACAAAUGUCACCCCCAUAGACUGCAGUCUGGGAGCUGGGCUCUGAAGCCUGCAGCACCACGGACCACCCUUAGAAGGGUGAAGUCUUUGUCUGAAGACUGGGAAUGGCCUACCCUUCCUCCUCCCCUACUCUCUUUCAGCUGGGGUUGCUGAGCUGGGACUACAUACAGGAAGCUGCCUGGGAGCCAAGUCAACACAGGAAAGGAGAGCCCAAAUGACAGAGAAGUAGCUCCUCAUGACGCAGCUGGAGUACAUGAAUCCCAACACAUGGACGUGAGCUUUUCAGAUACAUGAGCUCCCCAGAGUCUCCUCUCCUCUGUUGCUGAAGCGGGACUGAGCUGGGGUUUCGAUCACUUGCGUCCUAGAGCCCCUGGCCUCCGCCCAGCACAUAUUCACCUCCUUCUUCAUCAGUUUGAGCUGCUCCUGGAACUUGGCAUAGUCCCGAUCCUGCUCCAGGCGGAUCCGCCUGGCUUCCUCCCGGCGGCGCACGGCAUGGUCUUGCUCCAUCUUCUCCACCUGCUGCUUCUGCUGGCGUUCCAGGUUCUCCAGCUCCGUGUCAAAGAACUUCUUCUUGGCCUGGAAAGAGUAGAAGGAGAAACUGAGCAAAGUCUCUUUAUACCUGGGAGGAAGAUGGGAUGCAAGAUGGGGAGAGCCCAGAGUUUAUCUUCAGACCGGGGCCUGAAUCCCAGCUCUACACCUCUCUGCUGUACGACCUGGGGCGAGUCAUUUAACCGGAGUCUCUGCUGCCUCUGUACAAAAGGGAGGCCAGACCAUCUGCCUUGCAGAGUUCUUGCAUGGUGCUCGGCAAAGGUCGGUCUCCCUCUAGAGGUCCUCCUCUGUGACUCAGAGGAGCUCUGUGACCUUCAUGAGAUCCUGUGUUUAUGAGUCAGUGGCCCAGGAGACCAAGAAACCAAAGGAACCGGGCUCUCUCCUGCCCCUAAAGAAAACAUGGAGGCAAGAAGCCCUCCAGGGACCCAUCUGUCCUCACACUCACGUUGAUUUCUUGUUCAAAACGCUUAUGCAUCUGCUCCAGCUGCAGCUCAUGCUUGCUGCUCAGCUGGGUCUGGUUCCGGUGUUCUUCUUUCUGGAGCAGCCGAAGCUCUCGGAGCUCCUGGCGCCUGAAGGGUUAAAGGAUGCGGACAUGUCAGUCAGAAAGUGGCCCGCCUCAGAGGGCACAUAAUUCAUAGCCAGAGACACUGAAGGCUGGAGUGUGGAACGGCAUCACAGAAGUCUGGGGGCAGAGGCAAGACUAGAACUCAGGCUUAAUUUGACAUUUAUUGACAGACAGAACAUUAAUAAUCUUAACAUAUAAAGAGUCCUUACAAAUCAAUAAGAAAAACAGGAGCAGCCUACUUUUAAAAAGGCACACAAGGGGCGCCUGGGUGGCUCAAUCGGUUGAACACCCAACUUUGGCUCAGGUCAUGAUCUCGUGGUUCGUGGGUUUGAGCCCUGUGUCAGGCUCUGUGCUGACAGCUCGGAGCCUGGAGCCUGCUUUGGAUUCUGGUCUCCUCUCUCUCUCUCUCUCUCUCUCUCUCUCUCUCUCUGUCCCUCCCCCCGCCCUCCCCUCUCAAAAAAGGAUAGACAUUUAAAAAAAUGUUUUUUAAUUUAAAAAGGGACACAAAACAUAAGUAGACAUGAACCAAAAAACAAAAACAAAAAAAUUUAAAUUUACCUAAUAUGGAUAUGAAAUGCAAAUUAAAAAUUCUGUUUUCAUUAAAAAGGCUAGACUAUAGGGGAAGUUGAUACUUUCACAACCUGCUCAUAAGUAUAAAUUGGUACAUUUCUGGCAGACAGUUUGGUAAUAAGUUCAUGCCUUUUAACAUAGUAUUUCCAUUUCUAGAUAUUAAUUCUAAAGAAAUAUUUAUAGAUGCACAGCACAACUGAAUAAGGAUAUCCAUAACAAAAUUAUUUAGAAUAGCACAAAAUUUGAAAUGACUUAAAUGUCCAUUAUCUAUGUCUAAUUAAAUAAAUUAAAAUGUAUGCAUCUGG
Long non-coding RNA from Neofelis nebulosa (Clouded leopard), 2834 nucleotides. RefSeq lists it as uncharacterized. The record is from RefSeq and is a predicted model, not a curated record. Lineage: Eukaryota; Metazoa; Chordata; Mammalia; Carnivora; Felidae. The transcript is spliced from 5 exons.